AUUGAACGCUGGCGGCAGGCCUAACACAUGCAAGUCGAGCGGAUGAAGCGAGCUUGCUCCUGGAGUCAGCGGCGGACGGGUGAGUAAUGCCUAGGAAUCUGCCUGGUAGUGGGGGAUAACGUCCGGAAACGGGCGCUAAUACCGCAUACGUCCUGAGGGAGAAAGAGGGGGAUCUUCGGACCUCACGCUAUCAGAUGAACCUAGGUCGGAUUAGCUAGUUGGUGGGGUAAAGGCCUACCAAGGCGACGAUCCGUAACUGGUCUGAGAGGAUGAUCAGUCACACUAGAACUGAGACACGGUCCAGACUCCUACGGGAGGCAGCAGUGGGGAAUAUUGGACAAUGGGCGAAAGCCUGAUCCAGCCAUGCCGCGUGUGUGAAGAAGGUCUUCGGAUUGUAAAGCCCUUUAAGUUGGGAGGAAGCGCAGUAAGUUAAUACCUUGCUGUUUUGACGUUACCAACAGAAUAAGCACCGGCUAACUUCGUG
RNAcentral lists this ribosomal RNA (484 nucleotides) under uncultured bacterium. RNAcentral's name for it is "partial 16S ribosomal RNA". It matches the Rfam family "Bacterial small subunit ribosomal RNA", at positions 30 to 507 of the family's 1533-position model. The record is from RNAcentral.